RNAcentral lists this ribosomal RNA (454 nucleotides) under uncultured bacterium. RNAcentral's name for it is "partial 16S ribosomal RNA". It matches the Rfam family "Bacterial small subunit ribosomal RNA", at positions 28 to 507 of the family's 1533-position model. The record is from RNAcentral.
GAUGAACGCUGACAGAAUGCUUAACACAUGCAAGUCAACUUGAACUUCGGUUUGGGUGGCGGACGGGUGAGUAACGCGUAAAGAACUUGCCUCACAGCUAGGGACAACAUUUGGAAACGAAUGCUAAUACCUGAUAUUAUGAUUAUAUGGCAUCGUAUAAUUAUGAAAGCUAUAUGCGCUGUGAGAGAGCUUUGCGUCCCAUUAGCUAGUUGGAGAGGUAACAGCUCACCAAGGCGAUGAUGGGUAGCCGGCCUGAGAGGGUGAUCGGCCACAAGGGGACUGAGACACGGCCCUUACUCCGACGGGAGGCAGCAGGGGGGAAUAUGGGACAAUGGACCGAGAGUCUGAUCCAGCAAUUCUGUGUGCACGAUGAAGUUUUUCGGAAUGUAAAGUGCUUUCAGUUGGGAAGAAAAAAAUGACGGUACCAACAGAAGAAGUGACGGCUAAAUACGUG